UCCGGUUUGUCACCGGCAGUCUCGCAUGAGUCCCCAACUAAAUGCUGGCAACAUGCGACGGGGGUUGCGCUCGUUGCGGGACUUAACCCAACGUCUCACGACACGAGCUGACGACAGCCAUGCACCACCUGUGAAGAUCCAGCCGAACUGACCCUGUGUUUCCACAGGUAUGAUCUACAUGUCAAGCCCAGGUAAGGUUCUUCGCGUUGCGUCGAAUCAAACCACAUGCUCCGCUGCUUGUGCGGGCCCCCGUCAAUUCCUUUGAGUUUUAGCCUUGCGGCCGUACUCCCCAGGCGGGUCACUUAAUGCGUUAGCUCCGGCACGGAGGGAGUCGACACCCCCCACACCUAGUGACCAUCGUUUACGGUGUGGACUAC
This 377-nucleotide unclassified non-coding RNA is filed under the name uncultured Solirubrobacteraceae bacterium. Its description in RNAcentral is "contains 16S-23S intergenic spacer region". The record is from RNAcentral. Lineage: Bacteria; Bacillati; Actinomycetota; Thermoleophilia; Solirubrobacterales; Solirubrobacteraceae.